RNAcentral lists this ribosomal RNA (477 nucleotides) under uncultured bacterium. Its description in RNAcentral is "partial 16S ribosomal RNA". It matches the Rfam family "Bacterial small subunit ribosomal RNA", at positions 30 to 507 of the family's 1533-position model. The record is from RNAcentral.
AUUGAACGCUGGCGGCAUGCCUUACACAUGCAAGUCGAACGGUAACAGGUUAAGCUGACGAGUGGCGAACGGGUGAGUAAUGUAUCGGAACGUGCCCAGUCGUGGGGGAUAACUGCUCGAAAGAGCAGCUAAUACCGCAUACGACCUGAGGGUGAAAGCGGGGGAUCGCAAGACCUCGCGCGAUUGGAGCGGCCGAUAUCAGAUUAGGUAGUUGGUGAGGUAAAGGCUCACCAAGCCGACGAUCUGUAGCUGGUCUGAGAGGACGACCAGCCACACUGGGACUGAGACACGGCCCAGACUCCUACGGGAGGCAGCAGUGGGGAAUUUUGGACAAUGGGCGCAAGCCUGAUCCAGCCAUGCCGCGUGCGGGAAGAAGGCCUUCGGGUUGUAAACCGCUUUUGUCAGAGAAGAAAAGGUUCUGGCUAAUACCUGGGACUCAUGACGGUACCUGAAGAAUAAGCACCGGCUAACUACGUG